This 61-nucleotide transfer RNA is filed under the name Bragasellus molinai. RNAcentral's name for it is "transfert RNA-K(AAA)". The record is from RNAcentral. Lineage: Eukaryota; Metazoa; Arthropoda; Malacostraca; Isopoda; Asellidae.
AAUUAGAUGGCUGGAAGAGCAAAGAAUUUUUAAUUCUUAAACGAAAAUUUUUCUCUAGUUU